This 783-nucleotide ribosomal RNA is filed under the name uncultured bacterium. RNAcentral's name for it is "bacterial SSU rRNA". It matches the Rfam family "Bacterial small subunit ribosomal RNA", at positions 1 to 814 of the family's 1533-position model. The record is from RNAcentral.
CCCUUAGAGUUUGAUCCUGGCUCAGGACGAACGCUGGCGGCGUGCCUAAAACAUGCAAGUCGAACGGUGGUAGCAAUACCACAGUGGCGAACGGCGGAGUAAUACGUGAACAACGUGCCCUAAAGACUGGGAUAGUCACUGGAAACGGUGGGUAAUACCGGAUGUGGCGAUUCAGACACAUGUAUGGAUCGUUAAAUGGUUUUUCGCUUUAGGAGCGGUUCACGGCCUAUCAGGUAGUUGGUGGGGUAAUGGCCUACCAAGCCGACGACGGGUAGCGGGUCUGAGAGGAUGGUCCGCUCGAGUGGGACUGAGACACGGCCCACACACCUACGGGUGGCAGCAGUUGGGAAUCUUGCACAAUGGGGGAAACCCUGAUGCAGCGACGCCGCGUGGAGGAUGAAGGGUCUAGGCCUGUAAACUCCUUUUCUCGGGAAAGACUUAGGACGGUACCCGAGGAAUAAGCCCCGGCUAACUACGUGCCAGCAGCCGCGGUAAGACGUAGGGGGCGAGCGUUGUCCGGAUUUACUGGGCGUAAAGCGCGCGUAGGCGGUCUGUUAAGUGUAGAGUGAAAGCUCCGGGCUCAACUCGGAAACUGCUCUGCAUACUGGCAGGCUGGAGGGACGCAGAGGUCUGUGGAAUUCCUGGUGUAACGGUGAAAUGUGUUGAUAUCACGAGGAACACCCAUGGCGAAAGCAGCAGACUGGGCGUUUCCUGACGCUGAGCGCGAAAGCGUGGGUAGCAAACAGAUUAGAUACCCUGGUAGUCCACGCCCUAACGAUGAUA